This 492-nucleotide ribosomal RNA is filed under the name uncultured bacterium. Its description in RNAcentral is "partial 16S ribosomal RNA". It matches the Rfam family "Bacterial small subunit ribosomal RNA", at positions 29 to 507 of the family's 1533-position model. The record is from RNAcentral.
AGUGAACGCAGGCGGUAGGCCUAACACAUGCAAGUCGAACGGCAGCACAGUAAGAGCUUGCUCUUACGGGUGGCGAGUGGCGGACGGGUGAGGAAUACAUCGGAAUCUACUUUUUCGUGGGGGAUAACGUAGGGAAACUUACGCUAAUACCGCAUACGACCUACGGGUGAAAGCAGGGGAUCUUCGGACCUUGCGCGUUUGAAUGAGCCGAUGUCGGAUUAGCUAGUUGGCGGGGUAAAGGCCCACCAAGGCGACGAUCCGUAGCUGGUCUGAGAGGAUGAUCAGCCACACUGGAACUGAGACACGGUCCAGACUCCUACGGGAGGCAGCAGUGGGGAAUAUUGGACAAUGGGCGCAAGCCUGAUCCAGCCAUACCGCGUGGGUGAAGAAGGCCUUCGGGUUGUAAAGCCCUUUUGUUGGGAAAGAAAAGCAGCAGGUUAAUAACCCGCUGUUCUGACGGUACCCAAAGAAUAAGCACCGGCUAACUUCGUG